UGUAAACGUCCGAGCGGCGCUCAGAGACGCCAGGUCGGAAUGGAAGCAUCUGGAAGGGUGUCGGGUCCCCUCCUGUCUCCAGGGAUGAAGGGAACAGGCACGCCUCCUCCUCCUCUGGAGAAGCAGCAUGUCCACCCUCACCACAAGCCCUACUCUCACUAUCACCACCAUCAGCCUGCCAACGACGAAUACCAAGGCAGCUUUCAGAGCUGCUUCCAUUUCGGAGACUCCUACAGGAUGGAGCAGACGGUCGGCGGUGUCCACGUCCCAGGAGAUUCUCACGCCUACACUUCCCAGCAGCACAAUGGCUUCCACAUGACAACUAGCAACACUGGCACUGCAGACUUCAACUUGACCCAGGAGCUUCAAGGAGGCACAGGGUGCCAGUUCUCCUCCAGCCCAGAGGAGAACAUUUUCUUCCAGGUGGGCAACUUCGACCGCAGCCUGAGCCACAUGUCCUCCGUCUACACAGAGACAUAG
Molecule: long non-coding RNA, 480 nt
Filed under: Cottoperca gobio
Lineage: Eukaryota; Metazoa; Chordata; Actinopteri; Perciformes; Bovichtidae
Description: lncRNA (ENSCGOG00000012398.1)
Source: RNAcentral